RNAcentral lists this ribosomal RNA (441 nucleotides) under uncultured bacterium. RNAcentral describes it as "bacterial SSU rRNA". It matches the Rfam family "Bacterial small subunit ribosomal RNA", at positions 29 to 506 of the family's 1533-position model. The record is from RNAcentral.
ACGAACGCUGGCGGCAUGCCUAACACAUGCAAGUCGAACGGGAUCCUGGCUUCGGUCAGGUGAGAGUGGCGGACGGGUGAGUAACGCGUGGGAACCUGCCCAGUGGUGGGGGAUAACUGCGGGAAACUGCAGCUAAUACCGCAUGAGCCCGAGAGGGGAAAGAUUUAUCGCCGAGAGAUUAGCCCGCGUCCGAUUAGCUAGUUGGUGAGGUAAUGGCUCACCAAGGCGACGAUCGGUAGCUGGUCUGAGAGGAUGAUCAGCCACACUGGGACUGAGACACGGCCCAGACUCCUACGGGAGGCAGCAGUGGGGAAUAUUGGACAAUGGGCGAAAGCCUGAUCCAGCCAUGCCGCGUGAGUGAUGAAGGCCUUAGGGUUGUAAAGCUCUUUCACCCACGACGAUGAUGACGGUAGUGGGAGAAGAAGCCCCGGCUAACUUCGU